CAAACGGGCGAGUAACGCGUGCUCAACCUGCCCUGAAGUAAGGGACAACAUCGGAAACGGUGCUAAUCCCUUAUAUGCCCUUUAAACUGGAAUGUUUUUAGGGUAAAGGCUACAGCCGCUUCAGGAGGGGGGCGCGUCCUAUCAGCUAGUUGGUGAGGUAAAGGCUCACCAAGGCAACGACGGGUAGCCGGACUGAGAGGUCGGUCGGCCGCAAUGGGACUGAGACACGGCCCAUACCCCUACGGGGGGCAGCAGUGGGGAAUAUUGGGCAAUGGACGAAAGUCUGACCCAGCGAUCCCGCGUGGAGGAAGAAGGCCUACGGGUUGUAAACUCCUUUUCUGGGAGAAGACGAAUGACGGUAUCCCAGGAAUAAGCCACGGCCAACUACGUGCCAGCAGCCGCGGUAAUACGUAGGUGGCAAGCGUUAUCCGGAAUUACUGGGCGUAAAGGGUCCGUAGCCGGCUGCAUAAGUCUACUUUCAAAGACCUUGGCUCAACCAAGGAAAGGGGGUAGAUACUGUGCAGCUAGAGGUAGUUGGAGGCUAAUGGAAUUCUCGGUGGAGGGGUGAAAUCCGUUGAUAUCGAGAAGAAUGCCGAAAGCGAAAGCAGUUAGCUACAACUAUCCUGACGGUGAGGGACGAAAGCAUGGGUAGCAAACAGGAUUAGAUACCCUGGUAGUCCAUGCUGUAAACUAUGCUCGCUAGGUGUUUCUGCCUUGUGCAGGAGUGCCGUAAGCUAACGCGUUAAGCGGGCCGCCUGAGGAGUACAGUCGCAAGACCGAAACUCAAAGGGAUAGGCGGGGGAAUACACAAGCGGUGGAGCGCCUCGAUUAAUUGGAUAAUAAGCCAAGAAUCUUACC
RNAcentral lists this ribosomal RNA (858 nucleotides) under uncultured bacterium. RNAcentral describes it as "bacterial SSU rRNA". It matches the Rfam family "Bacterial small subunit ribosomal RNA", at positions 99 to 975 of the family's 1533-position model. The record is from RNAcentral.